GACCAGGUGCCCGAGUGGUUAGGGAAAGGUCUGCAAAACCUUUUUACGGGGGUUCGAAUCCCCUCCUGGUCUCAA
Molecule: transfer RNA, 75 nt
Filed under: Candidatus Jorgensenbacteria bacterium CG_4_10_14_0_8_um_filter_39_13
Lineage: Bacteria; Candidatus Joergenseniibacteriota
Also listed under: 3 other names
Description: tRNA-Cys
Rfam family: tRNA
About the family: Transfer RNA (tRNA) molecules are approximately 80 nucleotides in length. Their secondary structure includes four short double-helical elements and three loops (D, anti-codon, and T loops).
Source: RNAcentral